CUUGGAACAGGGACUUCUCGCAAGAGACCGGAGUCGAGGUGCUGCACGGCUGUCGUCAGCUCGUGUCGUGAGAUGUUGGGUUAAGUCCCGCAACGAGCGCAACCCUCGCCCCUAGUUGCCAUCAUUCAGUUGGGCACUCUAGGGGGACUGCCGGUGAUAAGCCGAGAGGAAGGUGGGGAUGACGUCAAGUCCUCAUGGCCCUUACGGGCUGGGCUACACACGUGCUACAAUGGCGGUGACAGAGGGAUGCAAAGGGGCGACCCUUCGCAAAUCUCAAAAAUCCGUCUCAGUUCGGAUUGGGGUCUGCAACUCGACCCCAUGAAGUUGGAAUCGCUAGUAAUGGCGCAUCAGCUACGGCGCCGUGAAUACGUUCCCGGGCCUUGUACACACCGCCCGUCACAUCAUGGAAGUCGCUUGUAGCCGAAGUCGGCGCGCUAACCGCAAGGAGGCAGCCGCCUACGCUAUGAGCGGUAACUGGGAUGAAGUCGUAACAAGGUAACCGU
Molecule: ribosomal RNA, 503 nt
Filed under: uncultured Alphaproteobacteria bacterium
Lineage: Bacteria; Pseudomonadati; Pseudomonadota; Alphaproteobacteria
Description: bacterial SSU rRNA
Rfam family: Bacterial small subunit ribosomal RNA
Source: RNAcentral